UGGGCCAUGCUUGCUUGAAGCCCAGAAGGGCAAAAUGAUCCAAAGCCUGAAAAAGUGGUAUCCCACUGCAUUAUCCAGAACCGAAAAAAAAAACUCUGCGGAGAUUGACCGACCACCACCACCGCCUGCGUUCCCGCGCCGCCACCGCCAUGGCUGCCGCUGCCCCCCAUGCAUACUCCUCCCUCGUGCCUGUUUCGGCUGCGCGGCCUCUCUCCGGAAGCACAGUUUCUUUCGGUGCUUCGUGCCACAAGUGGAGGAAGGUUCCGGCAUGGCGACUCCACUGUGUUGCUGAAGACGAAGCAGAGGAAGUCAAAGAUUUUGGAGUCAAUAUGGCACUAUCCAUGCUAAAAUUUUACAAACGAGAAAUAUCACCUUUACUACCUUCAAGCUGCCGAUAUGUACCAACUUGCAGUGAGUACUCUAUGCAGGCGUACAAACGAUAUGGUGUUGUAAAGGGUUCCAUCUUGACUGCUUGGCGCCUUUGCCGUUGUAAUCCUCUUGGUGGAUAUGGGUAUGAUCCUCCAAAAUGGUUUGGCGAGGAAGAUGUACCUCUGCAAUAGUAAUGCCUAGUAAUUGAAAGUACAGGCAUUGUAAUUCUUCAGAUCCAGACUUGCAGCAGUUUUUAUGAACAAUUGUAGUUAAGGAGUUCAAGGGAAGACUGUAUUCUUGCAGAGUUUGUACCAUGUUGUAAUCUUUGGCUCACGGGUAUGUGCUACACCUGCCGUACAUUUAAAUAUCUUCCUUAGGUAUGCUCAUCUGAACUUCAGGUCACCAUGGCCCCAUAUCCUUGUAUGUGGUGCUUAUUUAAUUGUUUCUUCUCGGGGUAUCAUAUCUGUUCUUGUCCCUGUCCAAUAUUUUAUACGGUACAUGCUGUGUAGAUUUGGAUACGUCGUCACAUCGAUUCAUAUAUCCCAGUGGACCUAUCACUGGUCAAACUUUUUUGUUUUUCAGAUUGAUUAUUUGGUGUCCAUUUUGAUGUUUUGUUUACCCAUUCCCCAUUUCCUUUUUUCAGGUUCUGGUCACUGUCAGAAACAAUGCACAACUGUAUGUGGUAGUUUCAAGGGAAAGCCUCCCCAUCGACUAUACUGCCAAGGAACUUGAUUGGAUUUCUGAGAUUUCUAUGCUGAAGAUACAUAAAUGGUAAUGGAUUUUCUUCUAUACAAACAUGGCCCAAAACAAAGCAUCUUCUAUAAACUACUAAGCUACUUGGUGACCAGUCUAUCAGUAUAGUUGAGGAUUUGUAUUCUAGGAAUCCUAUUGGUAUAACAUGAGGACUGUGUAGUUUAGUUUAGUUAAAAAAGUAUACUAUCUAUGAUCUGGAAGAAAACUGAUCAGAAAAUUCUUUUGAUGCACGAUUUUAACAUGAUCAUCAUGCUAAAUUUAUAAUC
Molecule: RNA transcript, 1388 nt
Organism: Zea mays
Lineage: Eukaryota; Viridiplantae; Streptophyta; Magnoliopsida; Poales; Poaceae
Exons: 6
Source: RefSeq, marked validated